AAGGUUAACCGAAUAGGGGAGCCGAAGGGAAACCGAGUCUUAACUGGGCGUUAAGUUGCAGGGUAUAGACCCGAAACCCGGUGAUCUAGCCAUGGGCAGGUUGAAGGUUGGGUAACACUAACUGGAGGACCGAACCGACUAAUGUUGAAAAAUUAGCGGAUGACUUGUGGCUGGGGGUGAAAGGCCAAUCAAACCGGGAGAUAGCUGGUUCUCCCCGAAAGCUAUUUAGGUAGCGCCUCGUGAAUUCAUCUCCGGGGGUAGAGCACUGUUUCGGCAAGGGGGUCAUCCCGACUUACCAACCCGAUGCAAACUGCGAAUACCGGAGAAUGUUAUCACGGGAGACACACGGCGGGUGCUAACGUCCGUCGUGAAGAGGGAAACAACCCAGACCGCCAGCUAAGGUCCCAAAGUCAUGGUUAAGUGGGAAACGAUGUGGGAAGGCCCAGACAGCCAGGAUGUUGGCUUAGAAGCAGCCAUCAUUUAAAGAAAGCGUAAUAGCUCACUGGUCGAGUCGGCCUGCGCGGAAGAUGUAACGGGGCUAAACCAUGCAC
RNAcentral lists this ribosomal RNA (551 nucleotides) under Escherichia coli. Its description in RNAcentral is "partial 23S ribosomal RNA". It matches the Rfam family "Bacterial large subunit ribosomal RNA", at positions 642 to 1194 of the family's 2925-position model. Lineage: Bacteria; Pseudomonadati; Pseudomonadota; Gammaproteobacteria; Enterobacterales; Enterobacteriaceae. The record is from RNAcentral.